GACGAACGCUGGCGGCGUGCUUAACACAUGCAAGUCGAGCGAUGAAGCACCUUCGGGUGUGAAUUAGCGGCGAACGGGUGAGGAACACGUGAAGAAUCUGCCUUCGACUCUGGGAUAACUCCGGGAAACCGGGGCUAAUACCGGAUAUGAGCCUUAAUCGCAUGAUCGGGGCUGGACAGUUUUUCGGUUGAAGAUGACUUCGCGGCCUAUCAGCUUGUUGGUGAGGUAACGGCUCACCAAGGCGACGACGGGUAGCCGGCCUGAGAGGGCGACCGGCCACACUGGGACUGAGACACGGCCCAGACUCCUACGGGAGGCAGCAGUGGGGAAUAUUGGGCAAUGGAGGAAACUCUGACCCAGCGACGCCGCGUGAGGGAUGAAGGCCUUCGGGUUGUAAACCUCUUUCAGUAGGGAAGAAGCGAAAGUGACGGUACCUACAGAAGAAGCACCGGCUAACUACGUGCCAGCCGCCGCAGUAA
This 479-nucleotide ribosomal RNA is filed under the name uncultured bacterium. RNAcentral describes it as "partial 16S ribosomal RNA". It matches the Rfam family "Bacterial small subunit ribosomal RNA", at positions 28 to 523 of the family's 1533-position model. The record is from RNAcentral.